RNAcentral lists this ribosomal RNA (495 nucleotides) under uncultured bacterium. Its description in RNAcentral is "SSU rRNA". It matches the Rfam family "Bacterial small subunit ribosomal RNA", at positions 26 to 518 of the family's 1533-position model. The record is from RNAcentral.
AGGACGAACGCUGGCGGCGUGCUUAACACAUGCAAGUCGAGCGGAAAGGCCCUUCGGGGUACUCGAGCGGCGAACGGGUGAGUAACACGUGAGCAACCUGCCCUUAGCUCCGGGAUAGCUCCGGGAAACCGGAAUUAAUACCGGAUACGACCACGGCCGACAUCUGCUGUGGUGGAAAGGAUUCCGGCUAAGGAUGGGCUCGCGGCCUAUCAGCUAGUUGGUGGAGUAACGGCCCACCAAGGCGACGACGGGUAGCCGGCCUGAGAGGGCGACCGGCCACACUGGGACUGAGACACGGCCCAGACUCCUACGGGAGGCAGCAGUGGGGAAUAUUGCGCAAUGGAGGAAACUCUGACGCAGCGACGCCGCGUGGGUGAUGAAGGCCUUCGGGUCGUAAAGCCCUGUCGGAGGGGAAGAAAGCGGUUGGCUAAUAUCCAAGCCGCUCUUGACGGUACCCUCAAAGGAAGCACCGGCUAACUCCGCGCCAGCAGCCGC